UACGGGGGGAGCAAGCGUUGUUCGGAUUUACUGGGCGUAAAGGGCGCGUAGGCGGCGCAACAAGUCACUUGUGAAAUCUCCGGGCUUAACCCGGAGCGGCCAAGUGAUACUGUCGUGCUAGAGUGCGGAAGGGGCUACUGGAAUUCUCGGUGUAGCGGUGAAAUGCGUAGAUAUCGAGAGGAACACCUGCGGCGAAGGCGGGUAGCUGGGCCGACACUGACGCUGAGGAGCGAAAGUGUGGGGAGCGAACAGG
This 253-nucleotide ribosomal RNA is filed under the name uncultured bacterium. RNAcentral's name for it is "partial 16S ribosomal RNA". It matches the Rfam family "Bacterial small subunit ribosomal RNA", at positions 524 to 776 of the family's 1533-position model. The record is from RNAcentral.